UAACACGUAGUUAACCUGCCCUAAGGUGGGGGAUAAUCACGGGAAACUGUGGCUAAUACCCCAUAGUCCAUGGAUACUGGAACGUUCCGUAGACGAAACCUACGGGGCCUUAGGAUGGGACUGCGGCGUAUCAGGUAGUCGUCAGGGUAAAAACCUGACGAGCCGAUAACGCGUAGGGGCCAUGAGAGUGGAAGCCUCCAGAUGCCUUCUGAGACAUGAAGGCAGGGCCUACGGGUCGCAGCAGGCGCGAAAACUUUCCAAUGCAUUAGCGUGUGAGAGGGGAACCUUGAGUGGUGCAGCUUAGCUGCACCUUUUGCCAAGUCUAGACAGCUUGGCGAAUAAGAGGUGGGUAAGACGGGUGCCAGCCGCCGCGGUAAUACCCGCGCCUCGAAUGGUCAUCACGUUUAUUGGGUCUAGAGCGUCCGUAGCCGGCUCUGCAAGUCCCUGGUGAAAUCCGGCAGCAAACUGUCGGGCGUGCUGGGGAUACUACAAGGCUUGGGAUUGGGAAAGGGCUGAGGUAUUCGGCGUGUAGGGGUUAAAUCCUUUAAUCCGCCGAGGACCACCUGUGGCGAA
Molecule: ribosomal RNA, 573 nt
Filed under: uncultured archaeon
Lineage: Archaea
Description: bacterial SSU rRNA
Rfam family: Archaeal small subunit ribosomal RNA
Source: RNAcentral